Non-coding RNA from Myodes glareolus (Bank vole), 528 nucleotides. The record is from RefSeq and is a predicted model, not a curated record. Lineage: Eukaryota; Metazoa; Chordata; Mammalia; Rodentia; Cricetidae.
AUGGUUCGCAACUCUCCUGACCCAGAAAACCCUACAAAAUCAUGCAAAUCAAGAGGACCAAACCUUUGGGUUCACUUUAAGAACACCCGUGGAACUGCCCAGGCCAAAGGUCUGCAUAUCUGAAAAGUCACCAAAUAUCUGAAAGAUGUCACUUUUAAGAGGCAAUGGUGUGUCCCAUUCCGAUGGUACAAUGGUAGAGUCGGUAGAUGCACCUAGGCCAAACAGUGGACCUGGACACAGGGUCGGUGGACAAAAAAAGAGUGCUGAAUUUUUGCUGCACAUGCUUAAAAACGCAGAGAGUAACGCUGAACUGAAGGGUUUAGAUGUAGAUUCUCUAGUCAUUGAACACAUCCAGGUAACAAAGCACCUAAGGUGCACUGACGAAUUUACAGAGCUCAUGGCCAGAUUAACCUGUACAUGAGCUCCCCCUGCCACAUUGGGAUGACCCUCACUGAAAAGGGACAACUUGUUCCAAAGCCAGAAGAGGAGGUUUCACAAAAGAAAAAGAUAUCCCAGAAGAAACUAAAG